GGAGUUUUUAGCCUUUUAACAUUCAAGGAUUAGAGCUCCCUCUUUGCCCACUAGCAGGGCAUUAGCUGGUGCUGAAGACAGUGGCUGCUUGGCGAGCCUGGAUCUCCAAGUGACCCCCUCAGCAACUCCUGAUGAACAGGACUGAAGCCAAUAUUAAAGCAAGUCAACCAAAGGUUCUCUGGUGUAGACAAGACAGCAAAAGGACAGACUACCUUGUGGAACCUAGCAUUGUUCUCCUUCUGCAGCACUAAGUAACAUUUGUUCUCCGUUAAGAUCUUUGCAAACCACACACAAGAAUUGCUGGUCAUCCUGCCAAUAGAUGCUGCUCACAGAACCAAAUUUCCUGUGCUGAAUUGUCACUCAUGGGCUUGAGAGUAGGAGACUGGAGACCAAGGUGGCUAGAAUCCAGUUGGGCCUGAUGUCUCCCUGUUGAAAGGGCUCCUUGUGGAAUGAAUAGCACAUGGCUCCUGUGGUGGAUCUGAUAGUGGCAUAGCACCAAGUGAUGCAGGCCUGCCAGGGGCCACAGACACAGAAGAUGCUCCCGGGGUCCCCCAUGUACUCCAGACACACUGCAGGCCACCUCUCCCAGCAGGUUGCCAGUCAUGGGCCCCAUCAUCAUGACUUCUGUCCAAGGGACUUGCACUUAGGAAUCUGUUACAGUGAGCACAGAAGCAGACCUGUGGGCUCAUAGUCUUCACCCCCCACCCAUAUAUACAAGAUGAACAGAGUGGAGGUUAAACAACUUGACUAAACAACACAGUUCAUGGUAAAGCCCAAGACUGUACCUGCCCAUCCACUGCCUUUUCCAUGUAUCCUGGAACUGAGCAUAGACCUCUUCCCAGGCAGAGCUGACAGCAAGUAAAGGAGAUCAUAAUCAGGGGACCAAACAACUUUGUCUAAAGUGUGAAUGUCACCUAAGGAGAAGCUGUGAGAUCAGAAGGGUGGGGCAGAGGAGCAGACACCAUGAGGGAGAGUCCUUGGGGGUACAUCUGCCAGACUGACACUGUCUGGCCUGGGCAGUGGAGGGGCUAGCAGGAACCACAGGUACUGGUGGUGUGGCUACUACCGUUACAACUGCCUGUGCUUGGACAUGGACCCUCUGCAAUAUGCGGCAGUUUCAUUCAUUGCCCCCUACAUUCUACACCAAGUAGAAAUGGAAGGCAAUUGGAUACUUCACAGACAAGAUCUAAGUGGAGAAGGAAUGCGUCCUGUGGCUGCAGAGAUCCUUGGAGCUUGGAGGGGAGAGCUUGAGCCCCACUGAUGAUGACCUCCCACAGCUCGCCAACUCAGCCCUCCCUAAGUCCCCAUCGGGGGCCAAUUCUCACUCUGGGGUUGGGGGGACUCCACCAUAGCUCAUCCAUCAUAGGGAUGUUGGUAUCUACUGUGGGUUGGGUAGGGCCGAUGUGCUGAGGAUGGCUCCCCCACAAGCAAGAGAUGUGGAUUUGGGGAGCUUCCCAUCUUGUGUUGAAGGAACAUAACUCAGAAUAAUAAGAGCCAACUAUAACAAACCCACAGCCAACAUCAUACUGAAUGGGCAAAAGCUGCAGGCAUUCCCCUUGAAAAGUGGCACAGGAUAAGGAAGCCCUUUCUCACCACUCCUAUUCAAUAUAGUGUUGAAAGUCCUGAUCACAGCAGUCAGGCAACAGAAAUAAUAAAGGGCAUCCAAAUAGGAAGAGAGGAAGUCAAACUAUCCUUGUUUGCAGACAGUAUGAUUCUAUAUCUAGAAAACCCCAUAGCCUCAGCCCAAAAGGUCCUUCAUCUGAUAAUUUCAGCAAAGUUUCAGGAGACAAAAUCAGUGUACAAAAAUCACUAACAUUCCUAUACACAGUCGCCAAGCCAAGAGCCAAAUCAGGAGCACAAUCCCAUUCAUAAUUGCCACAAAAAAGAAUAAAAUACCCAGGAAUGCAGCUAACCAAGGAAGUAAAGGAUCUCUACAAUGAGAAUCACAAACGCUGCUCAAAGAAAUCAGAGAUGACACAAACAAAUGGAAAAACUUUCCAUGCUCAUGGCUAGGAAGAAUCAAUAUCAUUAAAGUGGCCAUACUACCCAAAGCAAUUUAUAGAUUCAAUGCUAUUCCUAUCAAACUAUCAAUUACAUUUUUCACAGAACUAGAAAAAACUUAAAAUUCAUAUGGAACCAAAAAGCCUGAGUAGUCAAGGCAAUCCUAAACAAAAAGAACAAAGGUGGAGGCAUCACAUUACCUAACUUCAAACUACAGGGCUACCAUGACCAAAACAGCAUGGUACUGGUACAAAAGCAGACACACAGACCAGUGGGACAGAAUAGAGAGCCCAAAAAUAAGGCCACAAACCUACAGCCAUCUGAUCUUCAACAAAGUUGACAAAAACAAGCAAUGGGGAAAGGUCUCCCUAUUCAAUAAAUGGUGCUGGGAUAACUGGCUGGCCAUAUGCAGAAGAUCGUAACUGGACCCCUUUUACUAUGUACAAAAAUUAAGAUGGUUUAAAGAGUUAAAACCCAAAAUUAUAAAAAUCCUGAAGAUAACUUAGGCAAUACCAUUCUGGACAUAGGAACUGGCAAAUAUUUCAUGAUGAAGACACCAAAAGCAAUUGUAACAAAAGCAAAAAUGGACAAAUUGGAUUUAAGAGCUUUUUCAUAGCAAAAUAAACAACAGGGCAGACAAUCUACCAAAUGACAGAAAAUUUUUGCAAACUAUGCAUCUGACAAGGGGCUAAUAUCUAGCAUCUAUAAGGAAUUUAAACACAGUUACAGGAAAAAAAAAACCCACUCCAUUAAAAAAUGGGCAAAGGACAUGAACAGACACUUUUCAAAAAAGACAUACAUACAGCCAACUAGCGUGUUAAAGAAAACCUCAAUUAUCACUGAUCAUUAGAGAAAUGCAAAAUCAAAACCAUGAUGAGAUAUCAUCUGCCAGUCAGGAUGGCUACAAAAAAGUAAAAAAAUAAUAGAUGUUGGUGAGGUUAUGGAGAAAAGGAACUUAUACACUUGUUAGGAGUGUAAAUUAGUUCAAUCACUGUGGACAGCAGUGUGGUGAUUCCUCAGAGAGCUAAAAACAACUACCAUUUGACUCACCAAUCCCAUUACUGGAUAUUUACCUAAAGGAAUAUAAAUCAUUCCACCAUAAAGACACAUGCAAGUGUAUGUUCAUUGCAGCACUAUUAACAGUAACAAAGCUGGGCACAGUGGCUCACCUCACGACUGUAAUCCCAGCACUUUGGGAGGCUGAGGUAGGCGGAUCACCUGAGGUCGGCAGUUUGAGACCAGCCUGACCAACAUGGAGAGACCCCAUCUCUACUAAAAAUACAAAAUUAGCCAGGUGUGGUGGCUCAUGCCUGUAAUCCCAGCUACUUGGGAGGCCAAGGCAGGAGAAUUGCUUGAACCCAGGAGGCAGAGGUUGCAGUGAGCCGAGAUCACACCAUUGCACUCUAGCCUGGUGAAGGAGCAAGACUCCAUCUCAAAAAAAAAAAAAAAAAAGAAAGAAAGAAAAAUACACAUUCAGAGGAGACAAAAAAUAAAAAACAAUGAUGCAUGCCCACAGGAUCUAGAAAAUAACUUCUUAAGGGCAAAUCUAGGAGUUAUUGGCCUUAAAGAAGAGAUAGAGAAAGAGAUAGGAAUAGAAAGUUUGUUGAAAGGGAUAAUAACAUAGAACUUCCUAAACCUACAGAAAGAUAUUUAUAUCCAAGUACAAGAAGGUUAUAGAACACCAGGCCAAUUUAACCCAAAGAUUACCUCAAGGCAUUUAAUAAUCAAACUCCCACAGGACAAGGGUAAAGAAAGGAUCCUAAAAGCAGCAAGAGAAAAGAAACAGAUAACAUACAAUGGAGCUCCAAUACAUCUGGCAGUAUAUUUUUCAGUGGAAACCUUACAAGCCAGGAGAGAGUGACAUGACAUAUGUUAAAGUGCUGAAGGGAAAAAACCUUUUACCCUAGAAUAGUAUAUCCAGCAAAAAUAUCCUUCAAACAUGAAGAAUAAACAAAGACUUCCCCAGACAAACAAAAGCUGAGGGAUUUCAUCAACACUAGACUGGUCCCAUAAGAAACGCUUAAGGGAGUACUUUGGUCAGAAAGAAACAGACAUUAAUGAGCAACAAAGAAUCAUCUAAAGGUAAAAAACUCACUGUUAAGAGUAAGUACACAGAAAAACCCAAAGUGUGAUAACAUUGUAACUGUGGUGUGUAAGUAGAAAGAAUAAAUGAUAAACCAAUCAAAAAUAGUAACUACAACUUUUCAAGACCAGUCAGAAAAAUAAGAUAAAAUUAGAAACAACAAAAAGUUAAAAAGUGGGGGGAUGAAGUUAAGAUGUAGAGUUUUUAUUAGUUUUUUGUUUGUUAAUGCAAACAGUGUUACCAGGUUAAAAUAAUGGGUUACAAAAUAGUAUUUGUAAUCCUUAUGGUAACCUCAAACCUAAAAACAUACACUGGAUACAUAAAAAAUAAAAAGCAAAAACCUAAAUCAUAUCACCAGAGCAAACUACCUUCCCUAAAGGAAGACAGGAAGAAAAGAAAGAAGAAGACCACAAAACAACCAGAAAACAAAUAAAUAACAAGGCAGGAGUAAGUCUUUACUUAUCGAUAAUACAUUGAAUGGAAAUAUGGACUAAACUCUCCAAUCAAAAGACAUAGACUGGCUGAAUGAAUGGAGAAAACAAGACCCAUUGAUCUGUUGCCUACAAGAAACACACUUAAACUAUAAAGACACACAUAGGCUGAAAGUAAAGAGUUGGAAAGAGUUAUUCCAUGCCAAUGGAAACCAGGAAAAAGAGAAGGAGUAUUGAUUUUGAUACAAAAACUAUGAGACAAAUAAAGUCACUAUACAAUGAUAAAGGGGUUAAUAUGGUUUCCAUUUGUGCCCCACCCAAAUUUCGUGUUCUAUUGUAAUCCUCAAUGUUGGAGGUGGGGCCUGGUGGGACGUGAUUAGAUCAUGGGGGUGGAUCUUUCAUGACUAAUUCAGCACCAUCUUCUUAGUGCUGUUCUCAUGAUAGUGAGUUCUUCUGAAAUCUGGUUGCUUAAAAGUGUGUAGCACCUCUCCACACCACCCGCUUGCCUUGGUCUACUCCUGCUAUGUAGAUGCUUGCUCCCACUUUGCAUUAUUCCAUGAGUAAAAGCUCCCUCAGGCCUUCCCAGAAUCAGAUGCCGCUAUGCUUCCUGAACAGCCUGUGGAACUAUGAGCCAAUUCAACCUCUUUUCUUCAUAAAUUAACAAGUCUUGGGUAUUUCUUUAUAGCAGUGUGAGAACAGAAUAAUACAGAAAAUUGGUAAAGAGGAGUGAGGCAUUGCUAGAAAGAUACCUGAAAAUGUGGAAACAGCAGUGGAACUGGGAAAUAGACAGAGGUUGGAAGAGUGUGGAGGGCUCCGAAGAUAGGAAGAUGAGGGGAAGUUUGGAAUUUCUUAGAGAUUUGUUAAAUUGUUUUGACCAAAAUACUGAUGGUGAUAUGGACAAUGAAGUCCAGGCUGAGGAGGUCUCAGAUGGAGAUGAGGGACUUAUUGGGACCUGGAGUGAAGGUCACUUUUGUUAGGACAUUGUGGUUGGAGACAUUGUGCCCCUGCCCUAGGAAUCUGUGGAACUUUGAACUUGAGAGCGAAGAUUUAGGGUAUCUGGCAGAAGAAAUUUCUAAGCAGCAAAGCGUUCAAGACGUGGCCUGGCUGCUUCUGGUAGUCUGUGCUCAUAUUUGUGAGCAAAGACAUGACAAGAAACUGGAACUUAUAUUUAAAAAGGAAGCAGAGUGUAAAAGUUUGGAGAAUUUGCAGCCUGGCCAUGUUGUAGAAAAGAAAAAAACCAUUUUCUGGAGAGGAAUUCAAGCUAGCUGCAGAAAAUUGCAAGUAACAAGGAGCAAAAUGUUGAUAGCCAAGAUAGUGGGAAAAACACC
RNAcentral lists this long non-coding RNA (5843 nucleotides) under Homo sapiens (human). Its description in RNAcentral is "non-protein coding lnc-TRIM26-2:52". Lineage: Eukaryota; Metazoa; Chordata; Mammalia; Primates; Hominidae. The record is from RNAcentral.